UCUGCUGUCAAGUGAGAGGACUCGACUUGAUGACCUCUCUUUUGACCUCGAAAUCAAUCAUCCUGUCUCCCCUCUAGUUCCAAAUCUGUGAGCUUCUCUAGGCUUUGGGUUCCCCAUCUGGGAAGCGAGCUGGUUGAGCUAAUGGCUUCUCCAUGCUCUUCCUGAUCCAGGGAUAGGAUGCCUCCUGGGAGCCAUCUCCAGCAGUCCUGAUGAACAUCCGGCCACUGGACCCAGAUGGCUCCGGAGGAAGUGAGGCAGGUGACUGUGCACAGCCCUGCCUCGAUUAAAGCCAGUUCACUUUACAAGUCAUGGCGUACCUUUCCUGAUGUCAUGGUCCUCUUUGAGAAUGAAGGACAAACAACAACAAGAUGUCUCUUCCUAUCAAAUGUGAAGCUACUUUAAGGCAACUAAAAACAAGGACGACCCAGAAUUGAAAUGAAGACCCAUCCGACAGAGGGGAAAUGAGAGGCGGCAACAACCAACAAGCAACUUGAAAAGUCUAUGAGUAAAAGUCGUCCUCCAGGAAACAUAUUUUAGGAAGAGAAGAUGGGCCGGCGACUGGGUAAGGGACAGCGGGCACAGCGAGGACCCCCCACUGUGACGGGGCAACGUCAGGGAAGGCAGGAUGGCUGGACCGCCUGGGGUGAGUUUGUAGGUGGGCCUGGAUGAGAGUCACACAGGACGGGGCUGGCACUGAGGGCUUUCGAUCCUGAAAAUCAAUGAAAUCAUGGAUCCGUGUGAACACUGCUGCAGGCCCAGGGUCCUGCAAAUCACAAGUCAGUUUUUCUUGUAUUUGGAUGUGUGAUUUCAUUGAUGAUAAUGAUGAUGAUGACAGGCCUUGGACGAAAAGAGAUCCAGCCUCAGAGUCACGAGGACCUGAGGUCCAGAUCCUGCCUCUGACUGGACUGUGUGAACUACAGGCACACCACUUCCCCUAUUAGUGCCCACACAAGGCUCUGACACUGUAAAAGCUGCAGAGAAACUGCUGCCUUUUACUGGUUAAGGGAGUUCCUCACUGGAAAAAAACCAGCACCAAAGGACCUUAACUCGGGUUCCAUGAACUUGUUUUCUUAAAAAGAAUGCUGAUUACUUUAUUUCGAUAGAAUUGAUUUCUGUUGUAAUUCUCUCUCUCUCAACAAUUUUUAUUAAUGUUUUCUCUUUCUUACAACAUCAUAGCAUCAUACCUUCCCCUCCCAGAAAGCCAGCCUAUGUGGAAAAGAGUACUUUUUGUUAGAGAGGGGG
This is a long non-coding RNA of Trichosurus vulpecula (common brushtail), 1242 nucleotides long. RefSeq lists it as uncharacterized. The transcript is spliced from 2 exons. The record is from RefSeq and is a predicted model, not a curated record. Lineage: Eukaryota; Metazoa; Chordata; Mammalia; Diprotodontia; Phalangeridae.